RNAcentral lists this ribosomal RNA (464 nucleotides) under uncultured bacterium. Its description in RNAcentral is "partial 16S ribosomal RNA". It matches the Rfam family "Bacterial small subunit ribosomal RNA", at positions 29 to 506 of the family's 1533-position model. The record is from RNAcentral.
ACGAACGCUGGCGGCGUGCUUAACACAUGCAAGUCGAACGGAAAGGCCCAGCUUGCUGGGUACUCGAGUGGCGAACGGGUGAGUAACACGUGGGUGAUCUGCCCUGGACUCUGGGAUAAGCCUGGGAAACUGGGUCUAAUACCGGAUAUGACCUUACAUCGCAUGGUGUUUGGUGGAAAGCUUUUGCGGUUCAGGAUGGGCCCGCGGCCUAUCAGCUUGUUGGUGGGGUAAUGGCCUACCAAGGCGACGACGGGUAGCCGACCUGAGAGGGUGAUCGGCCACACUGGGACUGAGACACGGCCCAGACUCCUACGGGAGGCAGCAGUGGGGAAUAUUGCACAAUGGGCGCAAGCCUGAUGCAGCGACGCCGCGUGAGGGAUGACGGCCUUCGGGUUGUAAACCUCUUUCACCAGGGACGAAGCGUGAGUGACGGUACCUGGAGAAGAAGCACCGGCCAACUACGU